UGUAAUUGGUUUUUGGUUGAUUUUUACACUUUUUCCUUUUUAUUUAUUCAUUUGGCUGAGCCGCGUGGCCUGCGGGAGAUCCCCGAGCCGGGACUGAACCUGGCCCUGGCGGUGAACCGGACGCCAGGGAGUUCCCCAGCUCUCCUUCCUGACGAGCUGACGAAAUUGCACACCCUCACCACCGCCCCUUUCAGGAUCACACACUCUGGGCUGUCUGCUCAGAUCGCCUCCAGCGACAGGGAACAGCCCUUGGGGUCCACUGAGGUGACUCCAGCUCAACCUGUUUGGCUUGCAUUGCCCACUUGUCCCCAUGAAAACCAGGAUACAGCCUCUUCCUCAGGGGUCCCCCCACCUCCCAGCCGACCCUGGGUGUGUGUCUGUGUGGCCCUGCCUGGUGUAACGUGUAACCGCUCGCUGGGAUCUGAGUGCAGUAAACUGCCUCUGAACGGUGUCUGUCUUCGGAUCCAGCGGCCCCAUCACACCUACAUGCACAACAAUGCGAUGGACGGAAACAUGCCUUUGCCUUCAGCCUUCUCAGGCAGGCCAGUUCUCUGCUUCCUUCCCACCCUUCACCGGCCUGGUGUUUGCACCGUGACUCCAGGGGAACAAGGACUGUUUCAAAGUCUGAUUUGCCUCCUUAGCUGCACUUCCAAAGGCUGCCCCUCAGGCCAUCCUCUGAGUCAGUGCUCCGCAGCACUUUGGUUUUUUCUGGAUCCACCCUCUUCUGAGCACCCUCUCCUGGUUGGCACCACCACCGGCCUCUCUGGCUGCUGCUGCUCCUCCUCAUUGGGUUUGACCACUUCUGUAGCUUCACCUUCGUCUACAGUUUCUAAAUCUCCAGUCCCCACUUCUCCCCGUCCUGAGCUUCAGACCUGUUUCCCACCAGCCUCCAGGAAUCUCCACCUUCGAGGCACCGAGGUUGAGGAUGGCAAAAUGCUCGACGUGUAGGCGGGACCAGACUUGGAAUCCAGUGGGUGCAGAGAUUUGUCGCAGGGGCAGUGUAAGGGACACAGGGUAGGGAGGGGAGAGGUCAGAGGGUGACUGGGGCGGGAUGCUGGCCAGGACAGAUUCUACGGCGAAGGAG
RNAcentral lists this long non-coding RNA (1084 nucleotides) under Capra hircus (goat). Its description in RNAcentral is "lncRNA (ENSCHIG00010021182.1)". Lineage: Eukaryota; Metazoa; Chordata; Mammalia; Artiodactyla; Bovidae. The record is from RNAcentral.